UUUAGGGGUGAUUAUUUUUUGGCUUAAAUAUGUAAAAGGUCCUUGUAAGUUCGCGUGUUUUUGGUUUUCGUCCCUGUAAAUUUUUUUGUUCUAGAACUCAUCCUGUAAGUUGUUAACCUUUUGGUUUUAGUCCCUAACGUUAACUUCCGUUAAAAAAAAAACGCAUUGUUGGCAAAUGGAGUCACACGUACCAAUCAAUGACAUGGCAAAACACGCUUAUGUGUACUGACAGAUGAUAAGUGACUAGAUUUGAGGGAGCAAAACCAAAAACGUAAAAUUGCAGAGGGACGAAAUUGAAAAAAAUGUAAAUAUCAAAU
RNAcentral lists this long non-coding RNA (317 nucleotides) under Medicago truncatula (barrel medic). Its description in RNAcentral is "lncRNA gene22268". Lineage: Eukaryota; Viridiplantae; Streptophyta; Magnoliopsida; Fabales; Fabaceae. The record is from RNAcentral.